AGCGAACGCUGGCGGCAGGCUUAACACAUGCAAGUCGAGCGGGCCCUUCGGGGUCAGCGGCAGACGGGUGAGUAACACGCGGGAACGUACCCUUUGGUUCGGAAUAACGCUGGGAAACUAGCGCUAAUACCGGAUACGCCCUUUUGGGGAAAGGCUUGCUGCCGAAGGAUCGGCCCGCGUCUGAUUAGCUAGUUGGUGGGGUAAUGGCCUACCAAGGCGACGAUCAGUAGCUGGUCUGAGAGGAUGAUCAGCACACUGGGACUGAGACACGGCCCAGACUCCUACGGGAGGCAGCAGUGGGGAAUAUUGGACAAUGGGCGCAAGCCUGAUCCAGCCAUGCCGCGUGAGUGAUGAAGGCCUUAGGGUUGUAAAGCUCUUUUGUCCGGGACGAUAAUGACGGUACCGGAAGAAUAAGCCCCGGCUAACUUCGUG
Molecule: ribosomal RNA, 432 nt
Filed under: uncultured bacterium
Lineage: Bacteria
Description: partial 16S ribosomal RNA
Rfam family: Bacterial small subunit ribosomal RNA
Source: RNAcentral